GGCUACUAUAGUACUUUUGUUUUUAUUUGACAAACAUUAUCCAAUCACGGAGUAACUAGGCUCAAAAGAUUCAUCUCACAAAUUUCAGAUAAAUUGUGUAAUUAGUUUUUAUUUUUAUCUUUAUUUAAUGCUCUAUGCAUGUGAUUAAAGAUUCGAUGUGACGGAGAACCUUGAAAAUUUUUGCGAACUAAACAAGGCCCAAACCUACCCAGUUCAUGGCAUCGCGGCUCAUGACGUUUUUGUCCAAUUUUGAACCUCUCGGGUCCUAAAUGCUCAAAGUUUAGCACCC
RNAcentral lists this long non-coding RNA (289 nucleotides) under Sorghum bicolor (sorghum). RNAcentral describes it as "long non-coding RNA (SBIC_LNC011469)". Lineage: Eukaryota; Viridiplantae; Streptophyta; Magnoliopsida; Poales; Poaceae. The record is from RNAcentral.